CGGCGGACGGUGAGUAACACGUGGACAAUCGUGACCCCCCGGCCGGGAUAGCCCAGGGAAACCUGGAUUAAUACCGGAUGAGACGGGACCGCGAUGGCGGGAUCCGGGAAAGGCGCUGCGGCGCGCCGGGGAUGAGUCUGCGUCCCAUUAGCUAGACGGCGGGUAACGGCCCACCGUGGCGACGAUGGGUAGCCGGCCUGAGAGGGUGGACGGCCACAUUGGAACUGAGACACGGUCCAGACUCCUACGGAGGCAGCAGCUAAGAAUCUUCCGCAAUGGGCGAAAGCCUGACGGAGCGACGCCCGCGUGAACGAAGAAGGCCGUGAGGUUGUAAAGUUCUUUUCGGGAGGGGGAACAACCGUGGCAGGGAAUGGCCGCGGGAUGACGUGAAUCCCGGAAUAAGCCCCGGCUAACUACGUGCCAGCCGCAGC
RNAcentral lists this ribosomal RNA (431 nucleotides) under uncultured bacterium. RNAcentral's name for it is "bacterial SSU rRNA". It matches the Rfam family "Bacterial small subunit ribosomal RNA", at positions 96 to 518 of the family's 1533-position model. The record is from RNAcentral.